AGCACUUGGGUGUGUUUUUGUUUAACUUCUGGACAAAGACUCAGGUGCAAAAAAUAAAUCCUCUUUAGCAACCCAGAACUCGUGGUUCAGUAUGAGUUUUGAUACACACAAGAAGGUAUAAG
This 122-nucleotide small nucleolar RNA is filed under the name Castor canadensis (American beaver). Its description in RNAcentral is "Small nucleolar RNA SNORA40 (ENSCCNG00000016094.1)". It matches the Rfam family "Small nucleolar RNA SNORA40". From Rfam's summary of the family: The snoRNA ACA 40 belongs to the H/ACA family of snoRNAs and guides the pseudouridylation of 28S rRNA subunit at position U4565. NB This family has a high threshold value to exclude a large number of closely related sequences that do not appear to have conserved H and ACA boxes, and may be pseudogenes. Lineage: Eukaryota; Metazoa; Chordata; Mammalia; Rodentia; Castoridae. The record is from Rfam by way of RNAcentral.